Nematostella vectensis (starlet sea anemone) is the source of this 3571-nucleotide long non-coding RNA. RefSeq lists it as uncharacterized. The record is from RefSeq and is a predicted model, not a curated record. NCBI's taxonomy places the organism in Eukaryota, Metazoa, Cnidaria, Anthozoa, Actiniaria, Edwardsiidae. The transcript has 2 exons.
GAAUGUGUCUACUAACUGUAUAAUUAUGCAAUUCCUCAAUCCUAUAAACUAUAUAGAAAUUAUAAUGUAUAGAGUUGUUGCGUGUGAACACGAAUCAAUGCCCACGAAAUUCAACUAUGAUACCAAUUCUUAUAAAACUAAUUCAUACAUCACUAUUCCAACUUACUAAAAUGAAUUAUAAAUUAGCCAUAGGGGCAAUUAAACAACAGGUAGCAUGACACAUUUUUCCUUUAUGUCUCCUUGUUCAACCACACCAAAAUACAUGUAGCAAAGCAUACAUGCGGUUCAAAAAUGUUUCUUAAGGGACGUGUCAUUUUCCUUUAUGUCUCCUUGUUCAGCCACACCAAAAUACAUGUUGCAAGCAACAAAUUUUGUAGCCAGCGGUUCAAAAAUGUUUCUUAUUAAGGGACGUGUCAUUUUUCCUUUAUGUCUCCUUGUUCAGCCACACCAAAAUACAUGUUGCAAGCAACAAAUUUUGUAGCCAGCGGUUCAAAAAUGUUUCUUAUUAAGGGACGUGUCAUUUUUCCUUUAUGUCUCCUUGUUCAACCACACCAAAAUACAUGUAGCAAAGCAUACACAUGCGGUUCAAAAAUGUUUCUUAAGGGACGUGUCAUUUUUCCUUUAUGUCUCCUUGUUCAGCCACACCAAAACACAUGUUGCAAGCAACAAAUUUUGUAGCCAGCGGUUCAAAAAUGUUUCUUAAGAGACGUGUCAUUUUUCCUUUAUGUCUCCUUGUUCAGCCACACCAAAAUACAUGUAGCAAGCAACAAAUAUUGUAGCCAGCGGUUCAAAAAUGUUUCUUAAGGGACGUGUCAUUUUUCCUUUAUGUCUCCUUGUUCAGCCACACCAAAAUACAUGUAGCAAGCAACAAAUAUUGUAGCCAGCGGUUCAAAAAUGUUUCUUAAGGGACGUGUCAUUUUUCCUUUAUGUCUCCUUGUUCAGCCACACCGAAAUACAUGUAGCAAGCAACAUAUUUUGUAGCCAGCGGUUCAAAAAUGUUUCCUAAUUAAGGGAUGUGUUAUUAUUUAGCAGGGGGGGAGGGAAUUUGAUAUUUUUUAAAUUGACGGGAAAAAAUAGGGCCGUCCUCCAGCCAUAGGGUAAAAAUAUGGGACCCCCCAUACAAAAAAAUUCACACACAUUUGUCUGUAAUAAACGCUCGUGUAAACAUGAAAUUUAUGGAAAAAUAUGUUUGGUUGUCAAAUGAAUAUAGAUAUUUAGGGGUGAUAUGUUUACCGAAAACGAGGUUUAUAACGUCCAUGGGUCAGAAGUGCUAAUGUUUAGAGUGUGAAUGAAAAGAUUUUUGGCUAUUUUGAGCGACGUUAAUUUUGUAUUCUUUAUUCCUUUAGCAAAUAAAAGUUGUGUCUUUGUUUUCAGGGGCAUAGCCAUUUUUAACAGGAAGGGGUCCAAAAAGGCCCAUAUAAGACAUUUUCUCCUGUAUUGUAAGAAAUAUCCCAUACAUUUACUGUAUUUUUGGCUGCUGGAAGGAAGAAGGGCACCCCUUGCUAGGUCUCUGGUUUUGGACCCUGUUUAUGGGCUUUGUCUUAUAAAUUCAUCACAGAUCAGACGCUUUGACAUUGUAAUUAGUUUGUGAUUAGUUAUCAUAUUGGAAUUCGUAGCUUUUUUAAGUCACGUUCUUUAAUCAUUCAUUUGCUUUGACCCUAUAUUAUGCUUAGAAUUGCAAGUCAUUUCUUCCGCGUUCCCUUAGUCCAUUACAUCAAUUCCUUGGGGCUAAUUUCGGGGACUGCUCGAAAUUUUUUCUUGUCCCGGGAUCAGUAUAGUUUUAGCUCUUUCUCGCUUUCUUUUUUCGUUGGGUGCCCAUGUCAUGGCUACAUUACAAAGACAUUCAAGAUCUUGUCUAAGCACAUUAAGGACUUUUCAUUCUUGAUGUGAUCUAUCCAGCCAAUGUUGAGUAUUUAAGUUGGAAAACGUCCAGCAUUAUCUCCCUUCCAGGUCUUCUAGGUCUCAAAACCGCAUAACAAAACUUUGGGUACCAGUGUGCCUGGUACAACUUCAUCUUCAUUCUUCUCUUGAUCUUCUCAAAGCUACACAUUUUUUCUCAGUCUAGUGUAUGCACCCCUUGCCUUAAACAGCCUAUUCUUGGGGUCUUUUACUUAAAUAAAGCGACAUAUAAAUAUUACUACAUAUAACGGCAUAUGACGAAGUAAAAAGGAUGUAGAAGUUCUGGUUGUGCUCAACCAUAUGAAGUGUCACACACAUUGUGAAACAUGCCUGUCAUGAACUUUCUAUUCAUUUUGCACUUUUCAUUCCUGUAAAUGUCAUUUGUACAAUUAACGGCCCCUUUAAGUACUGCAAAUCCAUCCGGACCUAGUUUUUUUUUUUUAUGGGAGCGUCUCCUCUGUCACUCUCCGAGUUAUAUCAGUCAUCACUCUCCGAAUUAUCAGCUUCUCCUACACUAUUUUCCCUUUCACCCCUGAAACUCUCCGACUUACCGUCUUCCCCAUCAGCCUCCGACUCAUUGUCAAUGCAUCUAAUGAACAACUCCCCUUAUCGUUACUAACAAUAUUAUGUAUAACAAGCACCUUAUCCUCCUACUUUACCUCCUCUGAAUGGCCACUAUCAUUUUUUUGGGCGCUACGUUCCUAGAGUUCUCUACAGUCCUCCGUGCAGAGGCGAUGGCACCGACUUGAUCGUCCUUCAACACCCUAGCAGUUGAGCUUCUCUUUCUCUAUGUAUAGAUCAAGGACCGACAUAGGACACCCUCUAUUUGGGUGUAUCUAGUCAUGAGUUGUCGUACUUUUUCAAGCUUUCUUUCUCUCUCAGCCUCCUCCUUGGCUCCUUCCUCUUUCUUUUCUCGAACACAUGCAGGCGCGUACCCAGGAUUGGCUGAAGGGGGGCUGCACAGUCAUAGGUAUCAUAUAAUAAGAAAUGUCCCACUUUUUGGCCGCCAAAGGGGUGAUGCGCACCCCACCCCCUGUGUACGCGCCUGUCAUUGGCCUUUAGAUCACGAUGGUAAGAGAAGUGUAGAAGUCCGCUCGUAAAUGAUUGGCUAGAUUACCCUCAUCGUUCUAUUGUUUUCCCGUUCUUCGUCUGUGUUGCAUCAAUCCAAUGUGGUGAAAUCUUCUGAUAGCUUCUAAAUGGACCGAUGGCAAUGAAGAAAAUAGUUACCUAACCUCGGCCAUUUAAGUGACUUAUCAGAGUCACCGGAUGACAUUGGACCAUAUUUUUAUAGAUCCUACUCCAUGCCCUUCAACAGCAUUUAUCUGACGAUGAGUUUUAUAAUAUGAUGCUAAGAAAUUAUACAUGUUAAUUGCACGGCCAGUUAAUGGUUGACUCGUAAAGUGACACAACUAUAGGAGACAGUACUGUGCAGAUUAAUGAGUUCCAUGCUGAGGUUUAUGUGAUGGAGCAAAGAAAAAUUCCACACAAAAUAUUUGUUAACAAAAUUAUGACCCUCCCCUAAGAAAUGUGGAGAUGUGAAAAAAAUUAGGACCCUCCCCAAAAAAAUCAGAGCUCCCCCCUCCCCCCGCUAAAUAAUGACACGUCCCUAGCUAUCGGAGAAACAUAUUUGUGCCACAACUACAAUAUUUGAUGAGUAUUAUGUUUUGUGGGG